RNAcentral lists this long non-coding RNA (784 nucleotides) under Bos grunniens (domestic yak). RNAcentral describes it as "lncRNA (ENSBGRG00000008115.1)". Lineage: Eukaryota; Metazoa; Chordata; Mammalia; Artiodactyla; Bovidae. The record is from RNAcentral.
GGAACACACAACUUAGAUACUGAUAUCUAUAGGCUGAAAUUAAACUUCGAAGGGGGCGAAUGUAAGGCUUGCAGUGCAUCCACUAUGGAGGUUUAUAACAAAGGCACAGGCUCCGCACCGUCUCACCUUUGCCAGCCUGGGUUGAAUGAAGCCAAAGGACGUUCACAGUGUCCUGAGAAGCUGGGCAGUCACCCUGUUCUUCCUGUCCUGGCCGGAGGAACUUUUUCUGGCUGCGAAGUUCCUUCCUGACUCUGAACAGUGCCGGCUUGGAGUAUGGGAUGAUACAGGCAAGGGGUCUGAAAAUUACUUUGAUCGCAUUAUGGAGAAAUGGUUAUUAACACACAACAGGUUUUCUUUAAAACUGAAGAUUUGUUGUGGAGGGAAAUAUAAACAGCCUCCAGGAGCCAAAUAUUAGAGAACAUUCCACUCAAUAGCAACAGAAUACCCAGUCUUAUUAAACACACAUAGAAUAUUCUCCAGGAUACAACAUACUUUCAGUUCAAUUCAGUUCAGUCGCUCAGUCGUGUCCGACUCUUUGUGACCCCAUGAAUCACAGCACGCCAGGCCUCCCUGUCCAUCACCAAUUCCCGGAGUUUACCCAGACCCACGUCUAUCGAGUCAGCGAUGCCAUCCAGCCAUCUCAUCCUCUGUCAUCCCCAUCUCCUCCUGCCCCCAAUCCCUCCCAGCAUCAGAGUCCUUUCCAAUGAGUCAACUCUUCCCAUGAGGUGGCCAAAGUACUGGAGUUUCAGCUUUAGCAUCAUUCCUUCAAAAGAAAUCCCAGGGC